GCUGACAUCAGGGCAGGAGAUCCAUCAGGAAAAGAAGAACCAAAAGCAGCAGACUCCUUAGAUGGUAACAGCUCAGUAAGCACUCGAGGGACCAGAGAAUUCAGCACAGCGGAGUCCUUAGAGCGGGACAGGUUUCUAGAAAAGCAUCGCUUGGAUCUGAUAAACAGAGUGCUCAUGGUAGAUCCUGUCCUUGAUAACCUCCAGGACCAAGGUGUCCUGGAACAACAGCAAUAUGACCGCCUAAGAAGAGAGACGUCCAUCAGCAGGAAAAUGACAGCGCUCUUCAAUAUUGUAACUGACUGGGCGGAACAUUCCAAGAACCUGUUCUAUACGUCUUUAUAUUUA
Molecule: long non-coding RNA, 345 nt
Organism: Bufo bufo (common toad)
Lineage: Eukaryota; Metazoa; Chordata; Amphibia; Anura; Bufonidae
Exons: 3
Source: RefSeq, a predicted model, not a curated record